ACUCAAAUGAAUUGACGGGGGCCCGCACAAGCAGUGGAUUAUGUGGUUUAAUUCGAAGCAACGCGAAGAACCUUACCAGGUCUUGACAUCCCUUGAUCUUCAUAGAGAUAUGAAUUCCCUUCGGGGCAAGGAGACAGGUGGUGCAUGGUUGUCGUCAGCUCGUGUCGUGAGAUGUUGGGUUAAGUCCCGCAACGAGCGCAACCCUUACCGUUAGUUGCUACACGUAAAGGUGAGAACUCUAAUGGGACUGCCGUUGACAAAACGGAGGAAGGUGGGGAUGAUGUCAAAUCAUCAUGCCCUUUAUGACCUGGGCGACACACGUAAUACAAUGGCACUAAACAGAGGGAAGCGAAGGAGCGAUCCGGAGCGAAACCCAAAAAAGUGUCUCAGUUCGGAUUGCAGGCUGCAACUCGCCUGCAUGAAGUCGGAAUUGCUAGUAAUCGCGGAUCAGCAUGCCGCGGUGAAUACGUUCCCGGGCCUUGUACACACCGCCCGU
RNAcentral lists this ribosomal RNA (496 nucleotides) under uncultured bacterium. RNAcentral's name for it is "bacterial SSU rRNA". It matches the Rfam family "Bacterial small subunit ribosomal RNA", at positions 899 to 1397 of the family's 1533-position model. The record is from RNAcentral.